AACCAUAGAAACCUGCGGAGUACCUGCGGAGGGAUCAUUAAAAAAAAAUGAUGAAUGUCGGGGGGCGUGCUCCCCGUGUAUUCAACCAACCCGCUCUUGUAUUUGGAUCAACCAAAAAUCUAAAAAACCAAAAAAUUAUAAUUAAUAAAAAAAUAAACUUUUAACAACGGAUCU
This 174-nucleotide unclassified non-coding RNA is filed under the name soil metagenome. Its description in RNAcentral is "partial contains 5.8S ribosomal RNA, internal transcribed spacer 2, and large subunit ribosomal RNA". The record is from RNAcentral.